GUGGGGAAUCUUGCGCAAUGGGCGAAAGCCUGACGCAGCCAUGCCGCGUGAAUGAUGAAGGUCUUAGGAUUGUAAAAUUCUUUCACCGGGGACGAUAAUGACGGUACCCGGAGAAGAAGCCCCGGCUAACUUCGUGCCAGCAGCCGCGGUAAUACGAAGGGGGCUAGCGUUGCUCGGAAUUACUGGGCGUAAAGGGCGCGUAGGCGGACAGGUUAGUCAGAGGUGAAAGCCCAGGGCUCAACAUUGGAAGUGCCUUUGAUACUGGCUGUCUUGAGUACGGGAGAGGUGAGUGGAACUCCGAGUGUAGAGGUGAAAUUCGUAGAUAUUCGGAAGAACACCAGUGGCGAAGGCGACUCACUGGCCCGUUACUGACGCUGAGGCGCGAAAGCGUGGGGAGCAAACAGGAUUAGAAACCCGAGUAGUCC
RNAcentral lists this ribosomal RNA (425 nucleotides) under uncultured bacterium. RNAcentral's name for it is "bacterial SSU rRNA". It matches the Rfam family "Bacterial small subunit ribosomal RNA", at positions 354 to 796 of the family's 1533-position model. The record is from RNAcentral.